RNAcentral lists this ribosomal RNA (1388 nucleotides) under Vibrio diabolicus. Its description in RNAcentral is "bacterial SSU rRNA". It matches the Rfam family "Bacterial small subunit ribosomal RNA", at positions 63 to 1440 of the family's 1533-position model. The record is from RNAcentral. Lineage: Bacteria; Pseudomonadati; Pseudomonadota; Gammaproteobacteria; Vibrionales; Vibrionaceae.
CGAGUUAACUGAACCUUCGGGGGACGUUAACGGCGUCGAGCGGCGGACGGGUGAGUAAUGCCUAGGAAAUUGCCCUGAUGUGGGGGAUAACCAUUGGAAACGAUGGCUAAUACCGCAUGAUGCCUACGGGCCAAAGAGGGGGACCUUCGGGCCUCUCGCGUCAGGAUAUGCCUAGGUGGGAUUAGCUAGUUGGUGAGGUAAGGGCUCACCAAGGCGACGAUCCCUAGCUGGUCUGAGAGGAUGAUCAGCCACACUGGAACUGAGACACGGUCCAGACUCCUACGGGAGGCAGCAGUGGGGAAUAUUGCACAAUGGGCGCAAGCCUGAUGCAGCCAUGCCGCGUGUGUGAAGAAGGCCUUCGGGUUGUAAAGCACUUUCAGUCGUGAGGAAGGUGGAUGCGUUAAUAGCGUAUUGAUUUGACGUUAGCGACAGAAGAAGCACCGGCUAACUCCGUGCCAGCAGCCGCGGUAAUACGGAGGGUGCGAGCGUUAAUCGGAAUUACUGGGCGUAAAGCGCAUGCAGGUGGUUUGUUAAGUCAGAUGUGAAAGCCCGGGGCUCAACCUCGGAAUAGCAUUUGAAACUGGCAGACUAGAGUACUGUAGAGGGGGGUAGAAUUUCAGGUGUAGCGGUGAAAUGCGUAGAGAUCUGAAGGAAUACCGGUGGCGAAGGCGGCCCCCUGGACAGAUACUGACACUCAGAUGCGAAAGCGUGGGGAGCAAACAGGAUUAGAUACCCUGGUAGUCCACGCCGUAAACGAUGUCUACUUGGAGGUUGUGGCCUUGAGCCGUGGCUUUCGGAGCUAACGCGUUAAGUAGACCGCCUGGGGAGUACGGUCGCAAGAUUAAAACUCAAAUGAAUUGACGGGGGCCCGCACAAGCGGUGGAGCAUGUGGUUUAAUUCGAUGCAACGCGAAGAACCUUACCUACUCUUGACAUCCAGAGAACUUUCCAGAGAUGGAUUGGUGCCUUCGGGAACUCUGAGACAGGUGCUGCAUGGCUGUCGUCAGCUCGUGUUGUGAAAUGUUGGGUUAAGUCCCGCAACGAGCGCAACCCUUAUCCUUGUUUGCCAGCGAGUAAUGUCGGGAACUCCAGGGAGACUGCCGGUGAUAAACCGGAGGAAGGUGGGGACGACGUCAAGUCAUCAUGGCCCUUACGAGUAGGGCUACACACGUGCUACAAUGGCGCAUACAGAGGGCGGCCAACUUGCGAAAGUGAGCGAAUCCCAAAAAGUGCGUCGUAGUCCGGAUUGGAGUCUGCAACUCGACUCCAUGAAGUCGGAAUCGCUAGUAAUCGUGGAUCAGAAUGCCACGGUGAAUACGUUCCCGGGCCUUGUACACACCGCCCGUCACACCAUGGGAGUGGGCUGCAAAAGAAGUAGGUAGUUUAACC